AUUCCCAUUUGACUACCACAUUUUCUCCCAAUAAUAGAUUUUGGUGGCUAUGCUUAUGGGAUAGAUUAAAAAUUGCCAUGAUCUGAAGAGGAGGAUUUAUUUGUGUCCUCUUCCUAUAUGAAAUGGCUGAACAGAAAAUU
This 140-nucleotide small nucleolar RNA is filed under the name Canis lupus familiaris (dog). RNAcentral describes it as "Small nucleolar RNA SNORA29 (multiple genes)". It matches the Rfam family "Small nucleolar RNA SNORA29". Rfam says of the family: ACA29 is a member of the H/ACA class of snoRNA that guide the sites of modification of uridines to pseudouridines. RNAcentral also lists the same sequence under 1 other name. The record is from Rfam by way of RNAcentral. Lineage: Eukaryota; Metazoa; Chordata; Mammalia; Carnivora; Canidae.